UACGUAUGUUCCAAGCGUUAUCCGGAUUUAUUGGGCGUAAAGCGAGCGCAGACGGUUAUUUAAGUCUGAAGUGAAAGCCCUCAGCUCAACUGAGGAAGGGCUUUGGAAACUGGAUAACUUGAGUGCAGUAGAGGAAAGUGGAACUCCAUGUGUAGCGGUGAAAUGCGUAGAUAUAUGGAAGAACACCGGUGGCGAAAGCGGCUUUCUGGACUGUAACUGACGUUGAGGCUCGAAAGUGUGGGUAGCAAACAGGAUUAGAUACCCCCGUAGUCCCU
Molecule: ribosomal RNA, 275 nt
Filed under: uncultured prokaryote
Description: partial 16S ribosomal RNA
Rfam family: Bacterial small subunit ribosomal RNA
Source: RNAcentral